AGUGGAUGGGGAGCAACCUAGUUGUGCGUGUGUAAAGGUAGUGCCAAGAAAAGCGAUGAUCAUGUUGAAAAUCAAUUCCCGGUACCCGAAACCGACACAGGUGGGCAAGUAGAGAAUACUAAGGGGCGCGAGGUAACUCUCUCCAAGGAACUCGGCAAAAUGACCCCGUAACUUAGGGAGAAGGGGUGCCACCGAGAGGUGGUCGCAGUGAAGAGGCCCAGGCGACUGUUUAGCAAAAACAUAGGUCUCUGCAAACUCGAAAGAGGAGGUAUAGGGGCUGACGCCUGCCCAGUGCCGGAAGGUUAAAGAAGUUGGUCAGUUUUAGGAUGAAGCUAGCGACUGAAGCCCCGGUGAACGGCGGCCGUAACUAUAACGGUCCUAAGGUAGCGAAAUUCCUUGUCGGGUAAGUUCCGACCCGCACGAAAGGCGUAACGAUCUGGGCGCUGUCUCGGAGAGAGGCUCGGCGAAAUAGGAUUGUCUGUGAAGAUACGGACUACCUGCAUUUGGACAGAAAGACCCUAUGAAGCUUUACUAUAGCUUGGAAUUGUGUUCGGGCUUCCUGUGCGCAGGAUAGGUGGGAGGCGUAGAAGGUAUUCUUGUGGGGAUACUGGAGCCAACGGUGAGAUACCACUCUCAGGAGGCUAGAAUUCUAACUUAAUUAAGGACAGUUUCAGGUGGGUAGUUUGACUGGGGCGGUCGCCUCCAAAAAGGUAACGGAGGCGUACAAAGGUUCCCUCAGACUGGUUGGAAAUCAGUCGAAGAGUGCAAAGGCAGAAGGGAGCUUGACUGCGAGAAGUACAGUUCGAGCAGGGUGGAAACACGGUCUUAGUGAUCCGACGGUGCUGUGUGGAAGGGCCGUCGCUCAACGGAUAAAAGUUACUCUAGAUAACAGGCUGAUCUCCCCCAAGAGUUCACAUCGACGGGGAGGUUUGGCACCUCGAUGUCGGCUCAUCGCAACCUGGGGCGGAAGUACGUCCCAAGGGUUGGGCUGUUCGCCCAUUAAAGCGGUACGUGAGCUGGGUUCAGAACGUCGUGAGACAGUUCGGUCCAUAUCCGAUGUAGGCGUGAGAAUAUUGAGAGGAGCCUUCCUUAGUACGAGAGGACCGGGAAGGACGCACCGCUGGUGUACCUGUUAUGAUGCCAAUUGUAAACGCAGGGUAGCCAAGUGCGGAGAGGAUAACCGCUGAAAGCAUCUAAGUGGGAAGCCCACCUCAAGAUGAGUAUUCUGGUGUAAGGUCACGGGAAGACGACCCGUAAAUAGGCACGAGGUGGAAGUGCAGAGAUGUAUGAAGCCGAAGUGUACUAAUAGACCGUCGGCUUGACC
RNAcentral lists this ribosomal RNA (1324 nucleotides) under metagenome. RNAcentral's name for it is "bacterial LSU rRNA". It matches the Rfam family "Bacterial large subunit ribosomal RNA", at positions 1561 to 2925 of the family's 2925-position model. The record is from RNAcentral.